UUUAAAUUUGCAAUAUCUCAACAUGUUUUCCCUGACUAAUCUACUAGAGGUUGUUCCCAAAGAGCAGACAGACUAUAUAGAGGUUGAAGCACAUUUCCAGAGGAAGACUGACUUACUAAAGCACACAGAUUGUGAAGAAGAGCUGAGCAGAGGCUCCUGGAAAUCAGAGACUGUUGAUUAACAUUGGAGCAGAUAUCUGCAAAGCACGAGUACACUCACUUAAAUAUACAUGGAAAUAAAGAUGCUGAGAUCGAAUUUUAUAAUCUUCCAAGUUUUUUUUUUUUUU
Danio rerio (zebrafish) is the source of this 286-nucleotide non-coding RNA. The record is from RefSeq and is a predicted model, not a curated record. Lineage: Eukaryota; Metazoa; Chordata; Actinopteri; Cypriniformes; Danionidae.